This 1011-nucleotide long non-coding RNA is filed under the name Struthio camelus australis. Its description in RNAcentral is "lncRNA (ENSSCUG00000004821.1)". The record is from RNAcentral. Lineage: Eukaryota; Metazoa; Chordata; Aves; Struthioniformes; Struthionidae.
AUGAGAAAGGCUCCUUUAGGGAUGUUUUGCAGAUACGUCGUACAGGAACAAGCCGAAGAUGAGCUGUAUUAUUUCUUGAUCAAAAACAUUGAAUUAAUCUUAAAAAUUCAUAUUUUUUUUUCUUUUUGUAGGACACAGAACAGAUGUAUUGUAACUGUAUCCUCUUUCUGCAUUAUGCUGCAACUUGACAAAAAUGAGCCACAAGGAGAUACAGUCUGCAAGUAUCUGCGCGUAACUUUCUGUUCAGAAGAAUGGAAAACGAUGCGAAUUUCAACUGUCACACUUCUAAGAAGGGAUCCCUUUCUUGCUGCUUUACGCUAUUGUAGAUUCUCCCGCACAACAGUUCUAGAAUAUGUAGCUGCAAAUCCAGCUGAAGAAACAAGCAGCAGGGAAGAGGAACGUCUUUGGCCGCACCACUAUUCUGGCCACCGUCUAUUGGCCACCCCAGUUGCGCCAAUGCAGUUGUUUGCUGGGACGUGCUGUAACCUAGGGCAAGGGAAUUAUCUGACCUACAACACAUCUUGUUCUGGGAAUUCAUUAUGUUCUCUGAAGAGAUGCUAUACCAUUCCUCUUCUGGGUCUGUGGGAUCCCGUGUGGAGUUAUAUGAGUGUGCAGCAAAUAGCAAUCCUCUUGCUGCUGAAUGGAGAAAGAAUGCUCAGCCUUGAAUAUCAAUUCUAACUGGAGAGACCUGGAGGAUACCUAACCAGAGGGACAGGUGUUUCUAUUACCAAAAAUUUCAGUAAAAAGGCCAAGGACUGAAGAAAUGUGAAGACUGAAUUCUUCCUUUCUCCAUGGCCCCUCAACCAGCUUUUUAUGUCAAGGUGUGGCUGACAGACAAGCUUGGUGUAACUUCCCGUGCUGCCUCUCUUAGGCAGGUAAAGAAAAGUCAACAUGUAAGGUACCUGAUCUGAUGCCUGUAAAAGAAAAUGCAGUAGAGACUGUGGGUUUUAAGAAGAACGAGUCUGUUGUAGGAGAUUAUUUAAGAAAAUAAAUAAAGCAUAACUCAUAACA